This 72-nucleotide transfer RNA is filed under the name Camelus bactrianus (Bactrian camel). It matches the Rfam family "tRNA". From Rfam's summary of the family: Transfer RNA (tRNA) molecules are approximately 80 nucleotides in length. Their secondary structure includes four short double-helical elements and three loops (D, anti-codon, and T loops). The record is from Rfam by way of RNAcentral. RNAcentral also lists the same sequence under 1 other name. Lineage: Eukaryota; Metazoa; Chordata; Mammalia; Artiodactyla; Camelidae.
GAAGGUAUAACUCAAUGGUAAAGUGCGUGCCUAGCAUGCAUGAGGUCCUGGGUUCAAUUCCUGGUACUGCUA